UCGAGGAGCAGAUCCUGGAGUACAUGUCCAAGAAGGCGCAGAAGAAGGCCGAGAAGGUGGCCAAGAAGAUGAAGGCCAACGCGGUGUCGGGCUACUCCAACGAUUCCAACCCUUUUGGCGAUCCCAACCUCACAGAGAACUUUGUUUGGCGAAA
Long non-coding RNA from Triticum dicoccoides, 154 nucleotides. RefSeq lists it as uncharacterized. NCBI's taxonomy places the organism in Eukaryota, Viridiplantae, Streptophyta, Magnoliopsida, Poales, Poaceae. The record is from RefSeq and is a predicted model, not a curated record. The transcript has 4 exons.